GGAGAGGUAGGUGGACGUUUUUCGUCUGUAGUAUUAUUGAGCAUGAUUUAAUUGUGUGUGUGAUACAACACUCGUUAUAUAUUUCUGAAGUGCUUGGUUUUUAGAGAGCGGUACAGGAAAUGCUACGUGUUUUAAACAGCAAAUUACGUUGGGUUACUCGGUUACUAGAGGACCAAGAGUUAGCACGUACGAUUCUGGGCGUGAUAGCUAUUUCUUCACUCAUUGAUGUGGUGUUGGCAGCACUGCUGAGCUUGCUCGUGAUUUGAAUGUGGUUGUGUAAAGGUUGCAGUUCAAAGACCUCAACUAGAGGCCAGUUACUUAAACAUUACAGGUUAAAACAUCCACAUUAUGGGCGCAGGCACCCAUAUCCUUGCCCAUAUAUUAGUUGUCCAUGUACAUGCAAGUCAUGGAAUGCGCUCAGGUCACAUUUGUGUAGAGUCCAUACUAGAG
This is a long non-coding RNA of Brienomyrus brachyistius, 450 nucleotides long. RefSeq lists it as uncharacterized. NCBI's taxonomy places the organism in Eukaryota, Metazoa, Chordata, Actinopteri, Osteoglossiformes, Mormyridae. The record is from RefSeq and is a predicted model, not a curated record. The transcript has 4 exons.